ACGGAGGAUGCGAGCGUUAUCCGGAUUUAUUGGGUUUAAAGGGUGCGUAGGUGGACUGUUUAGUCAGUGGUGAAAUGCUGAUGCUCAACGUUAGCAUUGCCGUUGAAACUGACAGUCUUGAGAGUGGUUGAGGCAGGCGGAAUGUGUGGUGUAGCGGUGAAAUGCGUAGAUAUCAGGAAGAACACCGAUGGCGAAGGCAGUUGGCUAAGCCACAACUGACACUGAGGCGCGAAAGCGUGGGGAUCAAACAG
RNAcentral lists this ribosomal RNA (251 nucleotides) under uncultured prokaryote. RNAcentral's name for it is "partial 16S rRNA". It matches the Rfam family "Bacterial small subunit ribosomal RNA", at positions 525 to 775 of the family's 1533-position model. The record is from RNAcentral.